This 220-nucleotide long non-coding RNA is filed under the name Ananas comosus (pineapple). RNAcentral's name for it is "long non-coding RNA (ACOM_LNC013525)". Lineage: Eukaryota; Viridiplantae; Streptophyta; Magnoliopsida; Poales; Bromeliaceae. The record is from RNAcentral.
UAAGGAUUUUAAGUUCAAUCUUGACUUUGCACUAACUCUAGUGUUCAUUACAUCACUUUAUGUUGCUAACUCUAGCAAUCAAGUUCUUUACAUUCCUUUACUUUAGGCUAUCUUUAGCUUUCACAUUCUUUAACUUUACACGUUCUUUAUGCCCCACUUUACAUUAGCUUUAAUCAUUAAUAUCAUUCUUUACCUCGCAUUAGUUCUUUGCCUCACACUA